RNAcentral lists this ribosomal RNA (556 nucleotides) under uncultured bacterium. RNAcentral describes it as "partial 16S ribosomal RNA". It matches the Rfam family "Bacterial small subunit ribosomal RNA", at positions 355 to 920 of the family's 1533-position model. The record is from RNAcentral.
UGGGGAAUAUUGCACAAUGGGCGAAAGCCUGAUGCAGCGACGCCGCGUGAGGGAUGACGGCCUUCGGGUUGUAAACCUCUUUCAGCAGGGAAGAAGCGAAAGUGACGGUACCUGCAGAAGAAGCGCCGGCUAACUACGUGCCAGCAGCCGCGGUAAUACGUAGGGCGCAAGCGUUGUCCGGAAUUAUUGGGCGUAAAGAGCUCGUAGGCGGUUAGUCGCGUCUGCUGUGAAAACUCGAGGCUCAACCUCGGGCUUGCAGUGGGUACGGGCUGACUAGAGUGCGGUAGGGGUAACUGGAAUUCCUGGUGUAGCGGUGGAAUGCGCAGAUAUCAGGAGGAACACCGAUGGCGAAGGCAGGUCACUGGGCCGCAACUGACGCUGAGGAGCGAAAGCAUGGGGAGCGAACAGGAUUAGAUACCCUGGUAGUCCAUGCCGUAAACGUUGGGCACUAGGUGUGGGGUCCAUUUCCACGGAUUCCGUGCCGCAGCAAACGCAUUAAGUGCCCCGCCUGGGGAGUACGGCCGCAAGGCUAAAACUCAAAGGAAUUGACGGGGUC